Molecule: ribosomal RNA, 499 nt
Filed under: uncultured bacterium
Lineage: Bacteria
Description: bacterial SSU rRNA
Rfam family: Bacterial small subunit ribosomal RNA
Source: RNAcentral
GAUGAACGCUGGCGGCGUGCCUAAUACAUGCAAGUCGAACGCAUUGUGGUUGAAAUGAUAUGAAGAACUUGUUCAGAUUUGAUUUUCAACAUUGCAAUGAGUGGCGAACGGGUGAGUAACACGUGGGAAACCUACCUCUUAGCAGGGGAUAACAUUUGGAAACAAAUGCUAAUACCGUAUAAUAAUUAAAACCGCAUGGUUUUAGUUUAAAAGAUGGUCUUGCUAUCACUAAGAGAUGGUCCCGCGGUGUAUUAGUUAGUUGGUGAGGUAAUGGCUCACCAAGACAAUGAUACAUAGCCGAGUUGAGAGACUGACCGGCCACAAUGGGACUGAGACACGGCCCAUACUCCUACGGGAGGCAGCAGUAGGGAAUCUUUCCACAAUGGACGAAAGUCUGAUGGAGCAACGCCGCGUGUGUGAUGAAGGGUUUCGGCUCGGUAAAACACUGUUGUAAGAGAAGAAUGACAUUGAGAGUAACUGUUCAAUGUGUGACGGUAUU